GACGAACGCUGGCGGCGUGCUUAACACAUGCAAGUCGAACGGAAAGGCCCUGCUUGCAGGGUACUCGAGUGGCGAACGGGUGAGUAACUCGUGGGUGAUCUGCCCUGCACUUCGGGAUAAGCAUGGGAAACUGGGUCUAAUAAAGGAUAGGAGCCAUUUUUAGUGUGAUGGUUGGAAAGUUUUUUCGGUGUAGGAUGAGCUCGCGGCCUAUCCGCUUGUUGGUGGGGUAAUGGCCUACCAAGGCGGCGACGGGUGGCCGGCCUGGGAGGGUGGACGGCCACAUUGGGACUGAGAUACGGCCCAGACUCCUACGGGAGGCAGCAGUGGGGAGUAUUGCACAAUGGGCGCAAGCCUGAUGCAGCGACGCCGCGUGGGGGAUGACGGCCUUCGGGUUGUAAACGCCGUUCGCUAGGGACGAAGCUUUUUGUGACGGUACCUAGAUAAGAAGCACCGGCUAACUACGUG
This 465-nucleotide ribosomal RNA is filed under the name uncultured bacterium. Its description in RNAcentral is "partial 16S ribosomal RNA". It matches the Rfam family "Bacterial small subunit ribosomal RNA", at positions 28 to 507 of the family's 1533-position model. The record is from RNAcentral.